AACCCCCAAUUUUUUUAAGGUUGA
RNAcentral lists this ribosomal RNA (24 nucleotides) under Dwayaangam colodena. RNAcentral describes it as "partial 28S ribosomal RNA". The record is from RNAcentral. Lineage: Eukaryota; Fungi; Ascomycota.